AUUGAACGCUAGCGGCAGGCCUAACACAUGCAAGUCGAAUGAGUGGCGGACGGGUGAGUAAUGUCUCGGAACCUGCCUGGUGGCGGGGGAUAACUACUCGAAACGGUAGCUAAUACCGCAUACCAUCAGAGCGGCCGAUAUGGGAUUAGCUUGUUGGUGGGGUAAAGGCUCACCAAGGCAACGAUCCGUAGCUGGUCUGAGAGGAUGACCAGCCACACUGGAACUGAGACACGGUCCAGACUCCUACGGGAGGCAGCAGUGGGGAAUUUGGCACAAUGGGCGAAACCCUGAUGCAGCCAUGCCGCGUGUAUGAAGAAGGCCUUCGGGUUGUAAAGUACUUUUAGCAGGGAGGCGUUACCCGCAGAAGAAGCACCGGCUAACUCCGUGCCAGCAGCCGCGGUAAUAC
Molecule: ribosomal RNA, 406 nt
Filed under: uncultured bacterium
Lineage: Bacteria
Description: partial 16S ribosomal RNA
Rfam family: Bacterial small subunit ribosomal RNA
Source: RNAcentral